This 1004-nucleotide long non-coding RNA is filed under the name Lupinus angustifolius (narrow-leaved blue lupine). RNAcentral's name for it is "long non-coding RNA (LANG_LNC000662)". Lineage: Eukaryota; Viridiplantae; Streptophyta; Magnoliopsida; Fabales; Fabaceae. The record is from RNAcentral.
UUUUUUAAUUGAAGUAGGUUAACUUUGUAUACCAAAACUUUUAGAUAAAAUUAACCCUCAUAUUUUAGUUGUAAUAUAUUUAGUAAUAGGGAUAGUUUUAUAAUUUCCAUUUCAAAAUGAAUUCACACCCUACUUCUUUCUUCUUCACUAUUAACCUACUUAUCCUAAAACAUCAAAAAUCCAUCCAAUAUCAGAACUAACCCGUAAUUGCCAACUCAGGAACGCCACGCUAUUGCCUUAGUUCAAUUCUCGCUGGUAGUAGUACAGACCAGCGUAAUGAAGCCAACAUGAAUUAAAGAGAGGGACAAAUUAGGCAAUACAACUGGACACAUGGCACAUGACAUUGGUACUCAAAAAUUGAGGAGAAGCAAAAGGAAAAAAUAACCAAUUCCCAACUGAAUGAUUACGUGUGUGGCUGAAGGGAAUAUUAGGCAUGUUGUGUGCGUAAGAGAGAGUGUGGAAUCAUUCUUCUCUCUCUAACCUCUGCUCUCUCUCUUCUAUAAAUUCUUCUACUUUGUUUUCUUUUCUGUCAUAUGUUUACCUUCCCUUCAUUGUAAGAAAUUUCAUAUAUUUAAAUCAAACAAUCAUUACUUGACAAUAUUUACAGUGUUGUCUUUUCUAGUUUGUUAAGAAACUAUUCUUAUUGCAUUAUUGUUCCUUACAUUUGGUGCUUUUAUGGACCUUACAUUUAACUUGUAUUUUAGGACAUAAUUAGGACUUUAGGAUUGCUUUUAGCUUUUAUUUCUCUUUGUUCACGUUCAGCGGGUGUUUUUUGCUAUAUUGUGCAGUUUGGAUGGAUUACAGCAAAAAAGAGUAGAGAUUGAGUGCAAGAUGAUGAAAUUUAGUGUUAGGCUAUGCGAAGAUCAAAUGAAUGGUCAAAAGAAGUCAUAGAUGUUAUAUUAUAUUCCUAUUUUUUUAGAUUUUUUUGUGGGGCUUAGCCCAAUAUUGUGUAAUUAGGAUAAAUAAUGGUUCUCCCUCAAGGAUAAAAACUUUUUAAACUUUAC